GCCGCUGAUCCUAACGGUGGGAAGCAGUCUUGAAAACUGUAGGUCUGAAAAUGGCUAGCAGGUUCGACUCCUGUCGGCGGCGCCA
This 85-nucleotide transfer RNA is filed under the name Caudoviricetes sp. RNAcentral's name for it is "tRNA-Ser". It matches the Rfam family "tRNA". From Rfam's summary of the family: Transfer RNA (tRNA) molecules are approximately 80 nucleotides in length. Their secondary structure includes four short double-helical elements and three loops (D, anti-codon, and T loops). Further hydrogen bonds mediate the characteristic L-shaped molecular structure. tRNAs have two regions of fundamental functional importance: the anti-codon, which is responsible for specific mRNA codon recognition, and the 3' end, to which the tRNAs corresponding amino acid is attached (by aminoacyl-tRNA synthetases). tRNAs cope with the degeneracy of the genetic code in two manners: having more than one tRNA (with a specific anti-codon) for a particular amino acid; and 'wobble' base-pairing, i.e. permitting non-standard base-pairing at the 3rd anti-codon position. Lineage: Duplodnaviria; Heunggongvirae; Uroviricota; Caudoviricetes. The record is from RNAcentral.